GCUUUGUUAGUUUUCGGUUAAAUCCAUAUGCUCAACAUAUGGGCUGCCGGGAAUACUGCAUAGCUAGGGAGUGGGAGAGGUAGACGGUACUCCGUAGGAAGGGGUAAAAUCCUUUGAUCUAUGGAUGACCACCUGUGGCGAAGGCGGUCUACCAGAACACGUCCGACGGUGAGGGAUGAAAGCUGGGGGAGCAAACCGGAUUAGAUACCCGGGUAGUCCCAGCUGUAAACUAUGCAAACUCAGUGAUGCAUUGGCUUGUGGCCAGUGCAGUGCCGCAGAGAAGUCGUUAAGUUUGCCGCCUGGGAAGUACGUACGCAAGUAUGAAACUUAAAGGAAUUGGCGGGGGAGCACCACAAGGGGUGAAGCCUGCGGUUCAAUUGGAGUCAACGCCAGAAAUCUUACCCGGAGAGACAGCAGAAUGAAGGUCAAGCUGAAGACUUUACCAGACAAGCUGAGAGGUGGUGCAUGGCCGUCGUCAGCUCGUGCCGUGAGAUGUCCUGUUAAGUCAGGUAACGAGCGAGAUCCCUGCCUCUAGUUGCCACCAUUACUCUCAGGAGUAGUGGGGCGAAUUAGCGGGACCGCUGCAGUUAAUGCGGAGGAAGGAAGGGGCCACGGCAGGUCAGUAUGCCCCGAAACUCUGGGGCCACACGCGGGCUGCAAUGGUAGUGACAAUGGGUCCCGAAUCCGAAAGGAGGAGGUAAUCCUCAAACGCUACCACAGUUAUGACUGAGGGCUGUAACUCGCCCUCACGAAUAUGGAAUCCCUAGUAACUGCGUGUCAUUACCGCGCGGUGAAUACGUCCCUGCUCCUUGCACACACCGCCCGU
RNAcentral lists this ribosomal RNA (826 nucleotides) under uncultured archaeon. RNAcentral's name for it is "bacterial SSU rRNA". It matches the Rfam family "Archaeal small subunit ribosomal RNA", at positions 528 to 1353 of the family's 1478-position model. The record is from RNAcentral.